AUUGAACGCUGGCGGCAGGCCUAACACAUGCAAGUCGAACGGUAACAGAAAGCAGCUUGCUGCUUUGCUGACGAGUGGCGGACGGGUGAGUAAUGUCUGGGAAACUGCCUGAUGGAGGGGGAUAACUACUGGAAACGGUAGCUAAUACCGCAUAACGUCGCAAGACCAAAGAGGGGGACCUUCGGGCCUCUUGCCAUCGGAUGUGCCCAGAUGGGAUUAGCUAGUAGGUGGGGUAACGGCUCACCUAGGCGACGAUCCCUAGCUGGUCUGAGAGGAUGACCAGCCACACGGGAACUGAGACACGGUCCAGACUCCUACGGGAGGCAGCAGUGGGAAAUAUUGCACAAUGGGCGCAAGCCUGAUGCAGCCAUGCCGCGUGUAUGAAGAAGGCCUUCGGGUUGUAAAGUACUUUCAGCGGGGAGGAAGGGAGUAAAGUUAAUACCUUUGCUCAUUGACGUUACCCGCAGAAGAAGCACCGGCUAACUCCGU
RNAcentral lists this ribosomal RNA (489 nucleotides) under uncultured bacterium. RNAcentral describes it as "partial 16S ribosomal RNA". It matches the Rfam family "Bacterial small subunit ribosomal RNA", at positions 30 to 506 of the family's 1533-position model. The record is from RNAcentral.